RNAcentral lists this unclassified non-coding RNA (327 nucleotides) under Hevea brasiliensis (rubber tree). Lineage: Eukaryota; Viridiplantae; Streptophyta; Magnoliopsida; Malpighiales; Euphorbiaceae. The record is from RNAcentral.
CUGCCCUGUACUUUGCUCGUAAUCUUGCGCAUACUGCCACACAAGCCUUUCUCCUAAUUCUUUCUUCUUCUCCACCACACCCUUCCACUCCUCCACACCCAUCUUCAACUCCAACUUGCUCUUCCCUUCACCCAACACUUUCUUCUCAAACUCCAUUGCAUCCUCAUGCCACACUCCCAAUGCACUAGCCUUCACUAAAGGUAGUUUUGGCAGGUUCUUGUACUUGUCAAAUGCUCUUGUGCUGCUGUUGCUUUUGUUAUUAUCAUCAAGUGACAAAACUGGAGGCUUUGGUAAUGGAUUUUUCUUGGGUUUUUGGUCAAACUGAGA